AAAGGUCUGUGAGGUGAGUUCAGCACCACAAAGCUGGUUACCCCAGAGAAAUUGUAGAGACUGACUGGUUCUGUUGGAGCUUUCUCUAAGGGCUGGAUGGGGAACAUCCCUGGCUCUGGGGGCCCUCACAGUCUCAGCUACCUAGUCUUUUCACAACCUUUUAAGAGUGUGAAGACCAUCCUUAGCUUCUAAGACAGGGAAGUGGACGAGGCUUGUCUUUGAGGCUAGUGUGUCAACCCCACUAGUAAAGGGGUUGCUGUGGAUCAUUUAGGGAAAGGGCUGAUGGAGGGUGAGGCCGACCAGCAGGCUCUUCCCGUGCUCAGCGCCUCCUGUUACCAGCCUUUUCUCCCCCACCGUCUCCUCUCCCCCUCCCCCUUAUUCUAGAAGGAAUUAGAAACACUGUGGCAUAAAAAGUUAGCAGCUAAAGCACAGCAGUUGUCGCCCUUCAGGGCCUGUAAGAAACUUCAAGUGGAAGUUCCUUCCGGGUCACGAGAGAAGUGUCAACACCUGGGGCCGGGGGCAGGAGGGGGGACCUCUCUGGUCAUCCCUGCAACUUUUUAGGUACACCCCACUUGAGGUGGUUGUGGUUUGGGGGCUGAGUUCCCAGGAAGGCAACGUGGCGGGUUCCAGGCCUCAGAAGCACCAGGAUACAUUUAGUUUAAAAAAUGACAAGUUUGAAAAGAGUGCUCAGACCAAGUGUUCAAUGUCCACAGCACACGGUGAAGGAUUCCUGCCACAGGAUGCAUAGAUCACGGGCCUCGGAUCUAUGCAAAGUUUGAGCAAAAUGUGGAAAGAAAGAAGACAUUGUUAUUCCAUUUAAUGAAGAUCCAGAAAAGACAGGAAAUUUUGAAAAUAAUGCAGGUUACAACCAUAUAAGAAACUGCAAAAGCUAAAGAAUAGGGAAUUUUGACCAACUUUUGCCUUUGAGGGGCUCACAAAAAAAUAUUGUGACAUCCUAAUGAAAUCAGAAGAAACUAUAGAAAAACAUGUAAAAUAUAUACAUGAACAAUAUAAAUUGUUUAAAAUGUUUGGAUAAUUAUCAAACUUUCAUCCAGAGUUUCCUUAGAACAAAUUUUUUAGGUUGCAUAUACUAGAAUAAUAUCUGCCAAAACACAUAUUGAAGUAUCCUGUUACAGUUUGUGAGAAUUAUUUAAAAGAAUGUUUUACCUAAAUACAUAAAUGUAUUUGUUAUCAAAGUAAGCAAGACUCAGAAUUGGU
RNAcentral lists this long non-coding RNA (1218 nucleotides) under Marmota monax (woodchuck). Lineage: Eukaryota; Metazoa; Chordata; Mammalia; Rodentia; Sciuridae. The record is from RNAcentral.